AGAAUAUGAUGGGAUGACUCAUCUGGGUCAUCUCCUUCUGUUAGGCAGCCGGCACAUAGCAUUUUGGAUCAUGACAUGCUGUGGGAUGACCCAUCUGGGAUGCCCCAUGUAAUUGAGAUGCCCCAUGGGAUGCCUCCCUGAGACUUGAGACCAAAACAGAAAGCAAGACUUUCUAUCUGGCCAAUUAAGAUGCCCCAUG
Molecule: long non-coding RNA, 199 nt
Filed under: Elaeis guineensis (African oil palm)
Lineage: Eukaryota; Viridiplantae; Streptophyta; Magnoliopsida; Arecales; Arecaceae
Description: long non-coding RNA (EGUI_LNC047245)
Source: RNAcentral